RNAcentral lists this long non-coding RNA (232 nucleotides) under Elaeis guineensis (African oil palm). Its description in RNAcentral is "long non-coding RNA (EGUI_LNC056344)". Lineage: Eukaryota; Viridiplantae; Streptophyta; Magnoliopsida; Arecales; Arecaceae. The record is from RNAcentral.
GGGAGCCAGACUUCGCAUCUGACUUUAAUUGCAGGAAGACUUCGCCCGGGCUCCUACGGGAGCUGAGCCUCAUCCUCGAUUUCAACUGCCGGUGAGCUCCGCCCGGACCCUUACGGGAGCCAGACUCCACCCCCGGCUGUGACUGAAGGAAGACUCCAUCCGAACUCUUGCGAAAGUCAGAUUCCGAGCUCCUCUUGGAUAGAUGGCUAACUACCUCUCUCCACCACACUCC